This 644-nucleotide ribosomal RNA is filed under the name Pseudomonas sp. S4.ACT.012. RNAcentral's name for it is "bacterial SSU rRNA". It matches the Rfam family "Bacterial small subunit ribosomal RNA", at positions 21 to 660 of the family's 1533-position model. Lineage: Bacteria; Pseudomonadati; Pseudomonadota; Gammaproteobacteria; Pseudomonadales; Pseudomonadaceae. The record is from RNAcentral.
GGCUCAGAUUGAACGCUGGCGGCAGGCCUAACACAUGCAAGUCGAGCGGUAGAGAGGUGCUUGCACCUCUUGAGAGCGGCGGACGGGUGAGUAAUGCCUAGGAAUCUGCCUGGUAGUGGGGGAUAACGUUCGGAAACGGACGCUAAUACCGCAUACGUCCUACGGGAGAAAGCAGGGGACCUUCGGGCCUUGCGCUAUCAGAUGAGCCUAGGUCGGAUUAGCUAGUUGGUGAGGUAAUGGCUCACCAAGGCGACGAUCCGUAACUGGUCUGAGAGGAUGAUCAGUCACACUGGAACUGAGACACGGUCCAGACUCCUACGGGAGGCAGCAGUGGGGAAUAUUGGACAAUGGGCGAAAGCCUGAUCCAGCCAUGCCGCGUGUGUGAAGAAGGUCUUCGGAUUGUAAAGCACUUUAAGUUGGGAGGAAGGGCAGUUACCUAAUACGUGAUUGUUUUGACGUUACCGACAGAAUAAGCACCGGCUAACUCUGUGCCAGCAGCCGCGGUAAUACAGAGGGUGCAAGCGUUAAUCGGAAUUACUGGGCGUAAAGCGCGCGUAGGUGGUUUGUUAAGUUGGAUGUGAAAGCCCCGGGCUCAACCUGGGAACUGCAUCCAAAACUGGCAAGCUAGAGUAUGGUAGAGGGUG